UGGAAAAUGGACAUCUGCUUCUUUGUUCUACACAGAGAGAGAGAGAGGGGUGGAGAAAGGGAAUGGGUUCUGCUUUCGCAUCUAGGCUGAUUGAGGGUUAAGGGACUCAUCCAAUUCGCAAUAGCAUCAUGUUAUCAAAAUGAACAUGAACUAAGAAUCAGCGAGUGUGGAAGAGGAGGGAUUUACUUGAUGUCCUGCAAAUAUUGGUGUUACGCCAUUUGCAGAGAAGAGUGUGCAGGCUUGCGAUCGCUGUUGAGGUCCAAAGACCAAGUCUCCUGCAGGUGUUUAGAGAGGUACAGGUAGGAACAUUCCAACAAAAAAUUGGAUGCUGCUGUUGGCAAAACUGGUGGUGAGAAAUGACAAUCGUUUUCUGAUGUUGUAAAAAAUAUAUAGGAGAAAGAACCCUACUAGGUGAAGGCAGAGAAGAGGAAGGUUGAAUACAACAAGAACAUGGAUGUGUACGAAAAGAAACAACAAAUCUGAUAUAACUCCCCUAGGUCCACUCCUUGACAAGACUGAGCUUUAUUUCACCAAGAAUCAAUGACAAGAUGGACCUAUUUGAAGAGAAGCAAGUUGUUGGUUAGAUGAUAGAAACAAUUGUGCAUUCAACCAACUGCGAGUUGUCAAAAAACAAUAAUGCAGACAUUCAAGAUUAUGACAUGAAAGUCGGAUGGUAAUAUACUGUGUUAAUUAGGGUCAUGUUAUCAGUCACAGAGAAUUGAACUUUGCUUCCUCAUAAGUUGGUCCUACACUGUUCCUAAGCACUGUUCAUAACUGUUCACCUGCAAAAUGGCAGUUCUGCCCUCGAGUUGUAUACAGAGAUAAAAAAGGCGUCAGUUAUAUGGUGUGUUCUGGAAGCCUUCAUCGCAUUUAGUCACAUGCAAAUCGAUCUAUUUUCCUCUUUCUCUUGCCAGUCGCAGUGAAUCCAAUCCAAAUCGCUCUUGCUCUUACUCGAAUCAACAAAUUUCUCUCGCUCUCCUCGCACAAAAAUCCAAAACCGAGAUAGAAAUACAUUUCCUGCUCAAAAUCUCAAACUUGCUACCGGUCAGUUUAUUGUUUUGAGAUCAAUCGGCUUUGGUGGAAUCUUGAAUCUCCAAUUGCCAGCCGGGUUCAAAUCUUCUUCAGUUGCUUCUGAGAUCAAUAUUGGAGCAAACCCAGACUCGAUUAUGGAAUCCAUCAGUUGAGGUUAAAAAAGACCCACUUCAGAUUGUUAAGGAUUCUGCUGCAUUGAAUGUGUUUAGAGAAGUGAAGGUGUCUGAUAAGAAGAAGAUUAUUGUAUCAGAUCUGGAAAUCUAGGGCGACCAAAAGGGAGUAAGAAAUGCAGACACAAACUAAACUCAUGAAGAGGAACAACUCCAUGAUUGGCUCUCUCUUUCUCACUGCCAAUUUGAGAAUAAACAGUCUUCGCUCUGCUCAAAUGUAUUUCCCUAGACUCUUUUAUGCCAACAAGAGUAACACUUUGUAGCUGAUAAGUGAACAAAGAAUUAAUACCAAACAAGUGAUGCCAGGAGUAGCUCUACAUAGGUUCAAAGAACACCCAGUGGACUUCUCUUUAUUAGUAGUAACUUGUAGUAUGUUACAAGCUCGACCUUGGUGCUAUUCAUAUUCUCGAAAUCCAUAAGUAGUACACAUGUGAAGCAACAGACUACACAUGUGAAGCAACAGACUACACAUCUGAAGAACUCAUAUGGAAUGAUUGGUUCAAUCUUAAAUUACAAGUGUUCGUCUCCUAUGGGACUCCACGUGGCUCUGUUUCUGUGCUCCACGAACAGAGUGCAUAAAGAGUUCAAGAACGAUCAAGAAAGUGAGAGACAGGGAAAGAACGAUAGGGAGAGAAGACCGAUUUCAAUUCGAUCUGUUUCAAUUUCCACCAAGAUGCGCUCUCUUUGGUUAUGUGUUCAGAGAAAUAAGUAUCUCAAUUGUGACGGAGGAAGAAGCAGCUCUAAGCGACUCAGGGUAGGAGAAGAAGACAGACUGUGACUGGAAAGCUUUUUUGAAGCAGCUGAAAGUGUUCCUGGGUUUUGGAUGAAAGAAAGCAGGGAUAGUUUUGAUUCUCUGUGAUAUGGAGUUAAUGCCAUGGAAAUUGGUGAAUAAGCUUGACUUUGAGCUUCAUUCAGUUGCUAUGUCCUGCUCUUGAUGAACUCAAGUUAGAAGAUCCAUUCACUUCCAAUUGUCAUGACCGAGACAGAAAGAGGAAGACUCGACAAAUACAAAGAUUUUACAUGACUAUCCAGAACCUUCCUACACCAUGGAUCCUAUUCAAAUACAAGUUGUCUGUAGAUUUGUAAACUUUGGCAUUAAUAGUACAGAAUGUACUCAUUUUCUAAUGGUUGCUAUUGCAUAGUAUAUUUUAGGAAGAUUUAGUAGCGCGUGCAGAGACAGAGAGAGAGUGUGAAAGGAAAACAGGAGUGAUCGAUCUGGAUUUGUUUGACAAGAGGUGUAGAGAUAGAGAGAAACUGUGAAAGGAGAAGAUCAGAAGGAAUCAAUGUUGGACAAGAGGCUUCCAAUGAAGAAGACAGGACAUCAGUUGAUAGCAGCCCACCAGAAUCAGCAACAAAUGAUCUUCUCAUCAACGCGAAUGAAACACCAACAACAGAUGAACCAAAUGAUGAUACCUUUGAAGAACUCAUGUAAAGUAACUGGUUCGAAAGAUAAAUGCAGAUUAUUUUGAUGAGAACUACCUACCUUUGCAAUUAGAGUUUAGGAACUCUGGUUAGAAUGAUCAUUUUUUGAACAAAUGUUGGUUAAAAUACCCGUUUCUGUGCAAAACAUCAAUUUCUGAAAUAUGUGAAUAGACAAAUCUGGUCAAAACUCCAGCUUUUGAAUGAUAAUAUUUUAAAUUAGUGUUUCUUAUA
This is a long non-coding RNA of Rosa rugosa (rugosa rose), 2855 nucleotides long. RefSeq lists it as uncharacterized. The transcript has 22 exons. The record is from RefSeq and is a predicted model, not a curated record. NCBI's taxonomy places the organism in Eukaryota, Viridiplantae, Streptophyta, Magnoliopsida, Rosales, Rosaceae.